Molecule: long non-coding RNA, 705 nt
Organism: Zingiber officinale
Lineage: Eukaryota; Viridiplantae; Streptophyta; Magnoliopsida; Zingiberales; Zingiberaceae
Exons: 3
Source: RefSeq, a predicted model, not a curated record
GGGUAGGUUUUGGCUGUGAAUCAAGGUUUCUGAUCCCUUCUCUGUUCGUUAGCAAGAAACAGGACCGAGCCCUAAUCGAAGGAUUGGAGAGGUGAUGUGGUGAUUCCGGCCACCACAGAUUGAUUGGAUUAGUUCUUCCACCGGAGUUGUGAUCAUCUCCGGCGAUAGAAGAAGUAGAGGACCUUGAUUUAUACGAGCAGCGUGACGUGGGGUGGUUCUAUUGAUUGCGGGAUAUAUCGAGGCGGGUAUUUCUUCCUUAAGUUCUAUUUAGUUCUUUGAACUUUAAAAGCAUGGUUAUAUUUGGACAAGUAGGUUGCAUUCCUUAAAUCAUAUUAUUUGUUGUUUUCCUGCUUGUCACUUUUGCUUGAUCUUUGAUAUAAUCUGGGUUGAUUCUUUACAGUCUCUAUUCUUGUUAUCUGUGACUCUAUUGUUCAUACACAUGUAGAGUGUUGUAGGGAUGACUGUAUUGGGUAUUUGUGGUCUAUACCUGUCUAGGUUGUGAUUGGUACGUGUUAUGGGUUGUACAUGAUUAACAUUCUAUUUGCAUAGUGGUAUGUGUAGUUACGUUGGUUAUGGGUAUUGGAGGUGUUUAUGAGGGUUGAGGUUGUGGCAUGGAUGAUGAUUAUAUAUAUAUAUAUCAUGUUCAUCAUUCAUUGCAUCUGAUGACCGUUGUCUCCCUUGUGGUUGAGAGAGUCAUCAGUUGGU